AGAGUUUGAUCCUGGCUCAGAACGUACGCUGGCGGCACGCCUAACACAUGCAAGUCGAACGAAGUAGCAAUACUUAGUGGCAGACGGGUGAGUAACAUGUAGGUAUCUGCCCUUUGGCCUGGAAUAACACGAGGAAACUUGUGCUAAUACCGGAUAAGUCUUUACGGAGAAAGCUUUAUGCACCAUUGGAUGAGCCUGCACUUGAUUAGUUUGUUGGUGGGGUAAUGGCCUACCAAGACUGUGAUCAAUAGCUGAUUUGAGAGGAUGAUCAGCCACAUUGGGACUGAGACACGGCCCAAACUCCUACGGGAGGCAGCAGUGGGGAAUCUUGCACAAUGGAGGAAACUCUGAUGCAGCGAUGCCGCGUGAGUGAAGAAGGCCUUUGGGUUGUAAAGCUCUUUCGUCGGGGAAGAAAAUGACUGUACCCGAAUAAGAAGGUCCGGCUAACUUCGUGCCAGCAGCCGCGGUAAUACGAAGGGACCUAGCGUAGUUCGGAAUUACUGGGCUUAAAGAGUUCGUAGGUGGUUGAAAAAGUUGGUGGUGAAAUCCCAGAGCUUAACUCUGGAACUGCCAUCAAAACUUUUCAGCUUGAGUAUGAUAGAGGAAAGCAGAAUUUCUAGUGUAGAGGUGAAAUUCGUAGAUAUUAGAAAGAAUACCAAUUGCGAAGGCAGCUUUCUGGAUCAUUACUGACACUGAGGAACGAAAGCAUGGGUAGCGAAGAGGGUUAGAUACCCUCGUAGUCCAUGCCGUAAACGAUGUGUGUUAGACGUUGGAAAUUUAUUUUCAGUGUCGCAGCGAAAGCGAUAAACACACCGCCUGGGGAGUACGACCGCAAGGUUAAAACUCAAAUGAAUUGACGGGGACCCGCACAAGUAGUGGAGCAUGUGGUUUAAUUCGAAGAUACGCGCAGAACCUUACCAACACUUGACAUGUUCGUCGCGACUUUAAGAGAUUAAAGUUUUCGGUUCGGCCGGACGAAACACAGGUGCUGCAUGGCUGUCGUCAGCUCGUGUCGUGAGAUGUUGGGUUAAGUCCCGCAACGAGCGCAACCCUCACUUUUAGUUGCCAUCAUUUAGUUGGGCACUCUGAAAGAACUGCCAGUGAUAAGCUGGAGGAAGGUGGGGAUGACGUCAAGUCCUCAUGGCCCUUACGUGUUGGGCUACACACGUGCUACAAUGGCAUUGACAAUAGGAAGCAAGAUGGCGACAUCAAGCAAAUCCUAAAAAGAUGCCUCAGUUCGGAUUGUACUCUGCAACUCGAGUACAUGAAGCUGGAAUUACUAGUAAUCGCGGAUCAGCGCGCCGCGGUGAAUACGUUCCCGGGUCUUGUACACACCGCCCGUCACACCAUGGGAGUUGGUUCUACCUUAAGGCAAGGUUUAAAACCCUUGACCACGGUAUAGUCAGCGACUGGGGUGAAGUCGUAACAAGGUACCG
RNAcentral lists this ribosomal RNA (1436 nucleotides) under uncultured bacterium. RNAcentral's name for it is "bacterial SSU rRNA". It matches the Rfam family "Bacterial small subunit ribosomal RNA". The record is from RNAcentral.